GCUCUCGUGGUGAAGGGGAGAUCACGCGUGCCUUCGAAGCUCGAGUCCCUGGUUCGAUUCCAGGCGAGAGCG
This 72-nucleotide transfer RNA is filed under the name Sandaracinaceae bacterium. RNAcentral describes it as "tRNA-Arg". It matches the Rfam family "tRNA". From Rfam's summary of the family: Transfer RNA (tRNA) molecules are approximately 80 nucleotides in length. The record is from RNAcentral. Lineage: Bacteria; Pseudomonadati; Myxococcota; Polyangiales; Sandaracinaceae.